GACGAACGCUGGCGGCGUGCCUAAUACAUGCAAGUCGAGCGAGACUCUUCGGAGUCUAGCGGCGGACGGGUGAGUAACACGUGGGCAACCUGCCUGUAAGACUGGGAUAACACCGGGAAACCGGUGCUAGUACCGGAUAAUCCUUUUCCUCUCAUGAGGAAAAGCUGAAAGUCGGUUUCUGCUGACACUUACAGAUGGGCCCGCGGCGCAUUAGCUAAGUGGUGAGGUAACGGCUCACCAAGGCGACGAGGCGUAGCCGACCUGAGGGGGUGAUCGGCCACACUGGGACUGAGACACGGCCCAGACUCCUACGGGAGGCAGCAGUAGGGAAUCUUCCACAAUGGACGAAAGUCUGAUGGAGCAACGCCGCGUGAGCGAUGAAGGCCUUCGGGUCGUAAAGCUCUGUUGUUAGGGAAGAACAAGUACCGGAGUAACUGCCGGUACCUUGACGGUACCUAACCAGAAAGCCACGGCUAACUACGUGCCAGCAGCCGCCGUAA
RNAcentral lists this ribosomal RNA (500 nucleotides) under uncultured bacterium. RNAcentral describes it as "partial 16S ribosomal RNA". It matches the Rfam family "Bacterial small subunit ribosomal RNA", at positions 28 to 523 of the family's 1533-position model. The record is from RNAcentral.